This 326-nucleotide ribosomal RNA is filed under the name uncultured bacterium. RNAcentral's name for it is "bacterial SSU rRNA". It matches the Rfam family "Bacterial small subunit ribosomal RNA", at positions 28 to 334 of the family's 1533-position model. The record is from RNAcentral.
GAUGAACGCUGGCGGCGUGCUUAACACAUGCAAGUCGAACGGGAGAUGCACAGGGAAGAGAUUUCGGUCGAAUCCAGUGUAUCUUUAGUGGCGGACGGGUGAGUAACGCGUGGGUAACCUGCCAUAUACUGGGGGAUAACACUUAGAAAUAGGUGCUAAUACCGCAUAAGCGCACGGUCCCGCAUGGGACAGUGUGAAAAACUCCGGUGGUAUAUGAUGGACCCGCGUCUGAUUAGCUGGUUGGCGGGGUAACGGCCCACCAAGGCGACGAUCAGUAGCCGGCCUGAGAGGGUGGACGGCCACAUUGGGACUGAGACACGGCCCAA